GACGAACGCUGGCGGCGUGCCUAAUACAUGCAAGUAGAACGCUGAAGGAGGAGCUUGCUUCUCCGGAUGAGUUGCGAAUGGGUGAGUAACGCGUAGGUAACCUGCCUGGUAGCGGGGGAUAACUAUUGGAAACGAUAGCUAAUACCGCAUAAGAUUAGAUGUUGCAUGACAUUUGCUUAAAAGGUGCAAUUGCAUCACUACCAGAUGGACCUGCGUUGUAUUAGCUAGUUGGUGGGGUAACGGCUCACCAAGGCGACGAUACAUAGCCGACCUGAGAGGGGGAUCGGCCAAACUGGGACUGAGACACGGCCCAGACUCCUACGGGAGGCAGCAGUAGGGAAGCUUCGGCAAUGGACGGAAGUCUGACCGAGCAACGCCGCGUGAGUGAAGAAGGUUUUCGGAUCGUAAAGCUCUGUUGUAAGAGAAGAACGAGUGUGAGAGUGGAAAGUUCACACUGUGACGGUAUCUUAACAGAAAGGGACGGCUAACUACGUG
RNAcentral lists this ribosomal RNA (495 nucleotides) under uncultured bacterium. RNAcentral describes it as "partial 16S ribosomal RNA". It matches the Rfam family "Bacterial small subunit ribosomal RNA", at positions 28 to 507 of the family's 1533-position model. The record is from RNAcentral.